This 230-nucleotide ribosomal RNA is filed under the name uncultured bacterium. RNAcentral describes it as "partial 16S ribosomal RNA". It matches the Rfam family "Bacterial small subunit ribosomal RNA", at positions 562 to 791 of the family's 1533-position model. The record is from RNAcentral.
AAAGGGUGCGUAGGCGGCCUGUUAAGUCAGGGGUGAAAGACGGUAGCUCAACUAUCGCAGUGCCCUUGAUACUGAUGGGCUUGAAUGGACUAGAGGUAGGCGGAAUGAGACAAGUAGCGGUGAAAUGCAUAGAUAUGUCUCAGAACACCGAUUGCGAAGGCAGCUUACUAUGGUCUUAUUGACGCUCAUGCACGAAAGCGUGGGGAGCAAACAGGAUUAGAUACCCGGGU